ACAAUAAGCAAAAUAAGGGCGUAUGGGGGAUGCCUAGGCUCUCAGAGGCGAUGAAAGGCGUGAUAAGCUGCGAAAAGCUGCGGGGACGGGCACACACCGAUUGAUCCGCAGAUACCUGAAUGGGGCAACCCACUAUGUUGAAGACAUAGUACACCGAUAGGUGGGCAAACCCGCUGAACUGAAACAUCUAAGUAGGCGGAGGAGAAGAAAACAAAAGUGAUUCCGUAAGUAGUGGCGAGCGAACGCGGAUUAGCCCAAACCAAUGUUGUUACGGCAAUGUUGGGGUUGUAGGACCACGACAUUUUAUGCAUGCAGAACCAGAACUGACUGGAAAGUCGGGCCAUAGAGAGUGAUAGCCUCGUAUGGGUAAUAAAUGUAAUAGAUAGUGGUAUCCUGAGUAGGGCGGGGCACGUGAAACCCUGUCUGAAUUUGGCGGGACCAUCCGCUAAGGCUAAAUACUCCUGAGAGACCGAUAGUGAACCAGUACCGUGAGGGAAAGGUGAAAAGAACCGUGAAUAACGGAGUGAAAUAGAUCCUGAAACCAUACGCUUACAAGCGGUCGGAGCCCUUUCGUGGGGUGACGGCGUGCCUUUUGCAUAAUGAGCCUACGAGUUAACGUUGCUGGCAAGGUUAAGUGAUUAAGUCACGGAUCCGUAGCGAAAGCGAGUCUGAAUAGGGCGCUUUAGUCAGUAGUGUUAGACGCGAAACCGUGUGAUCUACCCAUGGGCAGGUUGAAGCUGUGGUAACACACAGUGGAGGACCGAACCGGUUGACGUUGAAAAGUCUUCGGAUGACCUGUGGGUAGGGGUGAAAGGCCAAUCAAACUCGGAAAUAGCUCGUACUCCCCGAAAUGCAUUUAGGUGCAGCGUUAGUUAUAAAGUUAUAUAGAGGUAGAGCUACUGAUUGGAUGCGGGGGCUUCACCGCCUACCAAUUCCUGACAAACUCCGAAUGCUAUAUAAUGUUCACUAACAGUGAGGGCUUGGGUGCUAAGGUCCAAGUCCGAGAGGGAAAGAACCCAGACCAUCAGCUAAGGUCCCCAAAUAUAUGCUAAGUUGAAAGAACGAGGUUUGUCUGCCCAGACAGCUAGGAUGUUGGCUUGGAAGCAGCCAUUCAUUUAAAGAGUGCGUAACAGCUCACUAGUCGAGCGGACGAGCAUGGAUAAUAAUCGGGCAUAAGCAUAUUACCGAAGCUAUGGAUUUAGAGUUUACUCUAAGUGGUAGGGAGCAUUCUAACAGGGUUGAAGGUGUAUCGUAAGGUAUGCUGGACUGGUUAGAAAAAGAAAAUGUAGGCAUAAGUAACGAUAAUGCGGGCGAGAAACCCGCACACCGAAAAACUAAGGUUUCCACAGCUAUGCUAAUCAGCUGUGGUUAGUCUGGUCCUAAGGCGAACCCGAAAGGGACAGUCGAUGGCUAACGGGUUAAUAUUCCCGUACUACUAAUUACUGUGAUGGGGUGACGGAGUGAUGAAAGCGCCGCGAACUGACGGAAUUAGUUCGUUGAAGUACCUAGCUAUAUUCUCUUAUAGGCAAAUCCGUAGAGAAUGGUGAAAUACGAUAGUACUCGGAGUCUUCGGACCAAAGAGAUAGUGCGCCUAAGGGCUUCCAAGAAAAACCUCUAAACUUCAGGUAAUUAGUACCAGUACCGUAAACCGACACAGGUAGUUGAGGAGAGAAUCCUAAGGUGCUCGAGAGAUUCAUGGCUAAGGAAUUAGGCAAAAUAGACCUGUAACUUCGGGAGAAAGGUCGCCAGCAGCAAUGCUGGCCGCAGUGAAGAGGUCCAGGCGACUGUUUAUCAAAAAACACAGGGCUCUGCAAAAUCGUAAGAUGAAGUAUAGGGCCUGACACCUGCCCGGUGCUGGAAGGUUAAGAGGAGAUGUUAUCUUCGGAGAAGCAUUGAAUUGAAGCCCCAGUAAACGGC
RNAcentral lists this ribosomal RNA (1917 nucleotides) under Flavobacterium sp. 2. RNAcentral's name for it is "bacterial LSU rRNA". It matches the Rfam family "Bacterial large subunit ribosomal RNA", at positions 1 to 1931 of the family's 2925-position model. Lineage: Bacteria; Pseudomonadati; Bacteroidota; Flavobacteriia; Flavobacteriales; Flavobacteriaceae. The record is from RNAcentral.